GCGGGAUUAGUUUACUGGUAAAACAUCAGUUUUCCAAACUGAGGUAAAGGGUUCGAUUCCCUUAUCCCGCA
Molecule: transfer RNA, 71 nt
Filed under: Minisyncoccota bacterium
Lineage: Bacteria; Bacillati; Minisyncoccota
Description: tRNA-Gly
Rfam family: tRNA
About the family: Transfer RNA (tRNA) molecules are approximately 80 nucleotides in length. Their secondary structure includes four short double-helical elements and three loops (D, anti-codon, and T loops).
Source: RNAcentral